UUUCAAAUUCCUCCGGUUUGAAGAGAGUUCUCGAAAAGCUCCGUUUUCGUGACGGAUUAGUGUUGACGGUAGGCCAAACCGGAGAAAUCAAGCUCCGUUUUCAAAUUCCCCCUGCGUAGCUAUAGUGUGGGACGGGGUCUAGGAUUCCUCGUCGUGUUCCCAUGGGUGACUCAUGGAAUGUAGUUUCUAUUAAUGAGCAUUUCUGUUUGCAAAUUUACAGCAAAUUAUGCAUGCUACUUUUAUUUUCUCACCAAGCUUUCUCUUUCGAGAAAGAACGUUGUCGUUGAAGUCGUUCAAGCUACGGACGCAGUUUUUCAAAAGACAUGGAUUUACAAAGCUUCCCUUGAAGACAAACAGUAUUUGGAAAGCUUGUCAACAAUCAAAUUCGCUAGCUUGUCCAGUUUUGUUGCGGGAAAGCGAGUUAAUUUGCCACCCAGCAGUUGGAACAAGAAGCACUCGCGGCCCUGAUGCAAACAAAAGUACAACAAUCUCUUUUUGCUCAACAAAUUUGAACAGGUAAGACUUUAUACUUGAUAUCUGUUAAUAUUUACUAAGAGAGGAUUUACAAGCACUAGCGCCUUAUUCCGUAUCCACCAGCCUUCUUUAGACCUCAACUGUUGGUCGAGCUGAAUUGGUUCUCGGCCGACUCUUUCGUUGGAAUUCUAAGCUUAGUUUCAAUUCUACUCCUACAAUAUCUGUGAUUCCACUAUAAUGUAUGACAACUGUUUCAAAGCCUUCGAAGAUGAACGUACACAGAUACUUUUCAAGAAACUCAUUGUCAAAGUACCGUUGCAUUCCGACAAGCCCUGGACUUCUCUUUGUUUAAAUUAAACGGCUUUAGGGUAUGGGAUAAUUUUCGCAGGUUUUUUUUAUGGAAGGGAAUUUAAUAUUUCAAAAUGCUUCGGCUUAAAAGCCUAAUCUGACGAACAGACUUUUGGUUUACUGACGGUUUGUUGUCUAAGUAUUUUUGGCUUUGGUGCUAGAGGUUUGAUAAUUGUUGGGAUGAGAGAGGGCUUGGGUCCACAUUAUCGAAGUUUUAAGAAUAUUCGGAAUAUCUUAUAAAAUGGUAUUUAUUUUCUCGUGCUUAAAAGUAUGAUAUGCCAUUGAUCGUGUGUUUUUGUAUACAUGUAUCUUUUUUUGAUGGACCUUGUUAGUCGUCUGCUAGUCAAGAAGCUGUUUACUGAAGACUGAAGCAAGCCAUGAAAUUCUUCAUUUUCUAAGGCAUGGCGAGUUGUGAAUUUCACUGCCCUGUUUUCGAUCGAUGCAUUGGCCACGCAAGCCAAGCUUUUUCUGAUGCAACUUUGAAAGAGAUUGUUGUAGCUAGGGAAAUUUACAACUGAAGUCAGUUCUAUGCGUCACAAACUGAAUCCAUCCUUCUAUUUGGAACAUAUACCAAUGAGAAACCUCGGUAUCCAUUUGUUUACCUACAGUUUCAGCGAAACAAACUGGAGUCUUCGCGACUGGUUUUCGUAAAAUGAGGUUAUUUUCACCUGCAGUUUCCCUGGAAUCAAUCUUGAGUUUUAGGGGAAACUUUAGAUUUCAAUGAACUUGAAUACAUGCACCGUCCAGCUAUAGGACUGUAUUCCUUUCUAAGCUGAAAGAGGAGAAAUAUGUUUGGAACUCCCUGGAAGGAAAAAUUUUGGCGCGUCUUGCUUCCAAACACUUCAGUUUUCACACAAUCAGGGCAAGAAGAUCACACAUUGCUCCAACAUUGCAAUAUACUUAAGGUGUCCGAAACUUGAGCAUUGAUUCAGUAUCAUUUUUCUUUUGCAGCUGGAGUUCUUAGCAUUUCAUUAACAAGAGGAGUGGAAACCGAGAUAGAGAGCUGUUGUCGCAUAUCAUGCUAAAUCAAGGUAAGCCUUGAAUAUCUGUAUGGAUCUGUAGAACUCCUGCUCUUCACAGAUCAGAAACAGUGCAUUCCUUGUUUUACCUACUUUUUUGUUUUGUUUAUUUUUCUUGGUAUAGCGUUGGAUAAGCGUUCUGCCUGCCUCAAGAUUGGCCACAAUGCAAGCCCAGAGGCGAACACGUCACUCAGUUGAAAAUAUGAGUAUAUAUACUCUGUCUUCUCUGUUGCUGGCUCGCUAUUACAUAAUUUAUUGUUAACGGUGACGUUAUGCCUUUCGUUGAGAGCUCCCUUUCUUGUACACAGUGAAUUUACGCUUAUAUCAGUGAUGUACUUGCCCAUUGUUACCAAAAUCAAGAAGGCGUGGAUGCCGGCACCGACACUGUUGAUGUGAUAACAAAACAAGAGGAGUUUUCUGUGUAUACUUACUGCCGACUACGAUGCAAGGCUAAGACGAAAUACACUCCAUGAAAAUUGAUUACAAAUUGUGACAACUCUAAGAAACAUCAGGAGAGAAUCGCAAUCAAGCAGAACGGGGGAUAAUUAGUUGGAUGUUGUACAGACUGAUUUACUAUUACAAAUAAAUGUGUUUGUAACGGUAAUCAUAAUGGUUUGAUGCUCUUUGACGUUAAGGAUGAAGAGUCUAUGCAUGUAGUUGAAUGGCAUUAUUGUCAAAGUUUAAAAUAUAUAGUGUUUCUGAAUAGUGUUCGAAGACUGUUUUUGUAAGUUGUUAUGUAUUAUUUAAAUUGGCCAAAUAAUGCUAAGUGUAAAAGUGUACUAUAAAAAAUUUCUAAGUGUGUUUCUAC
Orbicella faveolata is the source of this 2649-nucleotide long non-coding RNA. Lineage: Eukaryota; Metazoa; Cnidaria; Anthozoa; Scleractinia; Merulinidae. The record is from RefSeq and is a predicted model, not a curated record.